This 253-nucleotide ribosomal RNA is filed under the name uncultured bacterium. RNAcentral's name for it is "partial 16S ribosomal RNA". It matches the Rfam family "Bacterial small subunit ribosomal RNA", at positions 524 to 776 of the family's 1533-position model. The record is from RNAcentral.
UACGUAGGUGGCAAGCGUUGUCCGGAUUUACUGGGCGUAAAGGGCGUGCAGGCGGUCUGUUUAGUCUAGGGUGAAAGCUCCCGGCUUAACUGGGAGAGGUCCUUGGAUACUGGCAGACUCGAGGGGGGUAGAGGAGAGUGGAAUUCCCGGUGUAGUGGUGAUAUGCGUAGAUAUCGGGAGGAACACCAGUGGCGAAGGCGGCUCUCUGGGCCCUACCUGACGCUGAGACGCGAAAGCGUGGGGAGCGAACCGG